UAAUUGAAGAGUUUGAUCAUGGCUCAGAUUGAACGCUGGCGGCAGGCCUAACACAUGCAAGUCGAGCGGUAACAGGGG
Molecule: ribosomal RNA, 78 nt
Filed under: Providencia rettgeri
Lineage: Bacteria; Pseudomonadati; Pseudomonadota; Gammaproteobacteria; Enterobacterales; Morganellaceae
Also listed under: 1 other name
Description: partial 16S ribosomal RNA
Rfam family: Bacterial small subunit ribosomal RNA
Source: RNAcentral